This 301-nucleotide ribosomal RNA is filed under the name uncultured bacterium. Its description in RNAcentral is "partial 16S ribosomal RNA". It matches the Rfam family "Bacterial small subunit ribosomal RNA", at positions 509 to 807 of the family's 1533-position model. The record is from RNAcentral.
CAGUCGCCGCGGGAAUACGAAGGGGGCUAGCGUUGCUCGGAAUGACUGGGCGUAAAGGGCGCGUAGGCGGAAUGCUUUGUCGGGCGUGAAAUUCCAGGGCUUAACCUUGGGGCUGCGUUCGAGACGAGUAUUCUAGAGUGGAGAAGAGGGUCGUGGAAUUCCCAGUGUAGAGGUGAAAUUCGUAGAUAUUGGGAAGAACACCGGUGGCGAAGGCGGCGACCUGGUCUUUUACUGACGCUGAGGCGCGAAAGCGUGGGGAGCAAACGGGAUUAGAUACCCGCGUAGUCCCUGUCUCUUAUAC